Molecule: transfer RNA, 74 nt
Filed under: Candidatus Brennerbacteria bacterium RIFOXYB1_FULL_41_13
Lineage: Bacteria; Candidatus Brenneribacteriota
Also listed under: 2 other names
Description: tRNA-Gly
Rfam family: tRNA
About the family: Transfer RNA (tRNA) molecules are approximately 80 nucleotides in length. Their secondary structure includes four short double-helical elements and three loops (D, anti-codon, and T loops).
Source: RNAcentral
GCGGGCGUAGUACAAUGGCAGUAUACAUGCUUCCCAAGCAUGAGACGUGGGUCCGAUUCCCAUCGUCCGCUCAA